CGGGGUGAGUGGCAGACGGGUGAGUAACGCGUGGGAACGUGCCCUUCAGUUCGGAAUAACCCAGGGAAACUUGGGCUAAUACCGGAUACGUGCGAGAGCAGAAAGAUUUAUCGCUGAAGGAUCGGCCCGCGUCUGAUUAGCUAGUUGGUGGGGUAAUGGCCCACCAAGGCGACGAUCAGUAGCUGGUCUGAGAGGAUGAUCAGCCACAUUGGGACUGAGACACGGCCCAAACUCCUACGGGAGGCAGCAGUGGGGAAUAUUGGACAAUGGGCGCAAGCCUGAUCCAGCCAUGCCGCGUGAGUGAUGAAGGCCUUAGGGUUGUAAAGCUCUUUCGUCCGGGACGAUAAUGACGGUACCGGAAGAAGAAGCCCCGGCUAACUUCGUGCCAGCAGCCGCGGUAAUACGAAGGGGGCUAGCGUUGUUCGGAAUCACUGGGCGUAAAGGGCGCGUAGGCGGCUUUGUAAGUCGGGGGUGAAAGCCUGUGGCUCAACCACAGAAUUGCCUUCGAUACUGCAUGGCUUGAGACCGGAAGAGGUAAGUGGAACUGCGAGUGUAG
This 556-nucleotide ribosomal RNA is filed under the name Microvirga sp. Its description in RNAcentral is "bacterial SSU rRNA". It matches the Rfam family "Bacterial small subunit ribosomal RNA", at positions 87 to 678 of the family's 1533-position model. The record is from RNAcentral. Lineage: Bacteria; Pseudomonadati; Pseudomonadota; Alphaproteobacteria; Hyphomicrobiales; Methylobacteriaceae.